RNAcentral lists this ribosomal RNA (193 nucleotides) under uncultured Holophagae bacterium. RNAcentral describes it as "partial 16S ribosomal RNA". It matches the Rfam family "Bacterial small subunit ribosomal RNA", at positions 1191 to 1382 of the family's 1533-position model. The record is from RNAcentral. Lineage: Bacteria; Pseudomonadati; Acidobacteriota; Holophagae.
CCUCAUGGCCCUUAUAUCCAGGGCUACACACGUGCUACAUGGUUGGUACAAAGGGUUGCCAAGCCGUGAGGCGGAGCCAAUCUCAAAAAGCCAACCUCAGUUCGGAUUGCAGUCUGCAACUCGACUGCAUGAAGUUGGAAUCGCUAGUAAUCGCUGAUCAGCAGGCACGCGGUCCGAAUACGUUCCGGGCCUU